RNAcentral lists this ribosomal RNA (468 nucleotides) under uncultured bacterium. RNAcentral's name for it is "partial 16S ribosomal RNA". It matches the Rfam family "Bacterial small subunit ribosomal RNA", at positions 28 to 507 of the family's 1533-position model. The record is from RNAcentral.
GACGAACGCUGGCGGCGUGCUUAACACAUGCAAGUCGAACGGAAAGGCCCUGCUUUUGUGGGGUGCUCGAGUGGCGAAAGGGUGAGUAACACGUGAGUAACCUGCCCUUGACUUUGGGAUAACUUCAGGAAACUGGGGCUAAUACCGGAUAGGAGCUCCUGCUGCAUGGUGGGGGUUGGAAAGUUUCGGCGGUUGGGGAUGGACUCGCGGCUUAUCAGCUUGUUGGUGGGGUAGUGGCUUACCAAGGCUUUGACGGGUAGCCGGCCUGAGAGGGUGACCGGCCACAUUGGGACUGAGGUACGGCCCAGACUCCUACGGGAGGCAGCAGUGGAGAAUAUUGCACAAUGGGCGGAAGCCUGAUGCAGCAACGCCGCGUGCGGAAUGACGGCCUUCGGGUUGUAAACCGCUUUCGCCUGUGACGAAGCGUGAGUGACGGUAAUGGGUAAAGAAGCACCGGCUAACUACGUG